Molecule: long non-coding RNA, 376 nt
Organism: Sinocyclocheilus anshuiensis
Lineage: Eukaryota; Metazoa; Chordata; Actinopteri; Cypriniformes; Cyprinidae
Exons: 3
Source: RefSeq, a predicted model, not a curated record
GUUAAAAAUAACGAUUCGUUCGCGAACCGGACAUCACUACCAGUCAUUGCGAGGAUCAGCGUCCACAGAUCGAUUAAUUGUGAGGCACCCAAUAUUUCUCAGAGGCCUGUCUAUUACUUUUCGUCAUCUUUAUUUUCUGCCUUUUUAAUAUUUUCUUCAUCCCAACAUUUCACAUCACCAUACCAUGUCGAAGAGGGGAGGGGGGCUGAAGAAAACUUGCCCUGCAUGUAAAGAGAAGAUUUUUAAUGGAUUUAAAAUGUGCCCUAACUGCAAGGCCCCACAGCCUGAAAAUCUUAGAUUAUAAAAAAAAAAAUCGAAAAAUUUGAACAAAAAAAGGACAUAUGGGUAGCGAACAACAAAAGAAAUCAGGUGAUCU